Molecule: unclassified non-coding RNA, 141 nt
Filed under: rhizosphere metagenome
Description: partial ribosomal RNA internal transcribed spacer region
Source: RNAcentral
GUAGGUGAACCUGCGGAAGGAUCAUUUUUGAUUUGAACCCUUCAACACAUUGUGAACCGUGGCUCCGGCCCAAACUUGAAUGUAAUGAAUGUAUAAAACACAAACAAAAUAUAACUUUUAACAACGGAUCUCUUGGCUCUC